This 506-nucleotide ribosomal RNA is filed under the name uncultured bacterium. RNAcentral describes it as "partial 16S ribosomal RNA". It matches the Rfam family "Bacterial small subunit ribosomal RNA", at positions 29 to 523 of the family's 1533-position model. The record is from RNAcentral.
AGUGAACGCUGGCGGUAGGCCUAACACAUGCAAGUCGAACGGCAGCACAGGAGAGCUUGCUCUCUGGGUGGCGAGUGGCGGACGGGUGAGGAAUACAUCGGAAUCUACUCUGUCGUGGGGGAUAACGUAGGGAAACUUACGCUAAUACCGCAUACGACCUACGGGUGAAAGCAGGGGGCCUUCGGGCCUUGCGCGAUUGAAUGAGCCGGUGUCGGAUUAGCUAGUUGGCGGGGUAAAGGCCAACCAAGGCGACGAUCCGUAGCUGGUCUGAGAGGAUGAUCAGCCACACUGGAACUGAGACACGGUCCAGACUCCUACGGGAGGCAGCAGUGGGGAAUAUUGGACAAUGGGCGCAAGCCUGAUCCAGCCAUACCGCGUGGGUGAAGAAGGCCUUCGGGUUGUAAAGCCCUUUUGUUGGGAAAGAAAUCCAGCUGGCUAAUACCCGGUUGGGAUGACGGUACCCAAAGAAUAAGCACCGGCUAACUUCGUGCCAGCCGCCGCAGUAA